This 84-nucleotide transfer RNA is filed under the name Desmophyllum pertusum. RNAcentral describes it as "tRNA-Cys". The record is from RNAcentral. Lineage: Eukaryota; Metazoa; Cnidaria; Anthozoa; Scleractinia; Caryophylliidae.
UCCUGGUUAGCUCAAUUGGUUGGACGCCAGACUGCAGAGUGGGAGGUCGUGGGUUCAAAUCCCAGCCGGACCACAGACCAGGGU